RNAcentral lists this ribosomal RNA (697 nucleotides) under Dyella sp. RNAcentral's name for it is "bacterial SSU rRNA". It matches the Rfam family "Bacterial small subunit ribosomal RNA", at positions 67 to 756 of the family's 1533-position model. Lineage: Bacteria; Pseudomonadati; Pseudomonadota; Gammaproteobacteria; Lysobacterales; Rhodanobacteraceae. The record is from RNAcentral.
CAGCACAGCAGUAGCAAUACUGUGGGUGGCGAGUGGCGGACGGGUGAGUAAUGCAUCGGGAUCUACCCAAACGUGGGGGAUAACGUAGGGAAACUUACGCUAAUACCGCAUACGUCCUACGGGAGAAAGCGGGGGACCUUCGGGCCUCGCGCGGUUGGACGAACCGAUGUUCGAUUAGCUAGUUGGUAGGGUAAUGGCCUACCAAGGCGACGAUCGAUAGCUGGUCUGAGAGGAUGAUCAGCCACACUGGAACUGAGACACGGUCCAGACUCCUACGGGAGGCAGCAGUGGGGAAUAUUGGACAAUGGGCGCAAGCCUGAUCCAGCAAUGCCGCGUGUGUGAAGAAGGCCUUCGGGUUGUAAAGCACUUUUAUCAGGAGCGAAAUACUACCGGCUAAUAACCGGUGGGGCUGACGGUACCUGAGGAAUAAGCACCGGCUAACUUCGUGCCAGCAGCCGCGGUAAUACGAAGGGUGCAAGCGUUAAUCGGAAUUACUGGGCGUAAAGCGUGCGUAGGCGGUGAGUUAAGUCUGUCGUGAAAUCCCCGGGCUCAACCUGGGAAUGGCGAUGGAUACUGGCUCGCUAGAGUGUGAUAGAGGAUGGUGGAAUUCCCGGUGUAGCGGUGAAAUGCGUAGAGAUCGGGAGGAACAUCAGUGGCGAAGGCGGCCAUCUGGAUCAACACUGACGCUGAGGCACGA